AUGGAUGGAAAUGCAGCAGCUGAUGGGGGUGAGCCCACCUACGAUCCAAUGAAAGAUCCAACAAGGAAGCCACAACGGUCAAAUGAUCCGGGAUGGAACUAUGGAUAUUGGUCUGAGCCUCCAAAUCGGGAUCUUGUUGUGUGCGCUCUUUGUGGCAAGAUAACUUCUGGAGGGAUCAAGAGGCAUAAAGAGCAUCUUGCGGGCGUCGGGGGAGAUGCAAUUGGUUGUCCUAAGGCCACCACACAAUUGAGGAGAGAAAUGGGAACAUAUUUGGAGCAAAAUAGGAGGAUCAAGGGAGUAGUAGAUGUAGAUGAUGUUCAGGAGGUUGUGGAGGUGAGUUCAGUUGGAGCAAACAUCGCCUCUAAAAGGCCAAGCUCAGGGACAACAGCCAAACAGAAUAAAAAAGCGUUUAUCACCAACAUGCAAGGUAAAAAGAAGUCUGUUUCUGUUGUGUCUGCCGCCAAUAGUUCCAAGCCAAUUGUUGCCAUGCUACGAAGAACACCCGAGGAUCUUGUAGAUGAAAGACGCUCUGGGUGUUCUCAAAGCACCAUGGAGUCCAGCACAAAAACUCCAGAAGAGAGGCAGUAUGUCAAUAUGCAGUGGGCAUUGUUCUUUUACGAGUGUGGCAUUCCAUUCAACGCUGCAAGUAGUAGGCAGUUUGAGGUUGCAAUUGAAGCCUCUUGUCAAUAUGGGUCAGGUUACAAGCCUCCUAGUGCACAUGAGCUGAGAGAGAAAUUGCUUAAUGAUUGUGUGAAGGAAACAGGACUUUUGAGGAGGCAACACGAGGCAGCAUGGAAAAAAUAUGGAUGCACACUCAUGUCGGAUGGUUGGUCGGAUAAAAGAGGACGCCAUUUGAUUAACUUCCUUGUUAAUAGUCCAGAGGGCACUUUCUUCUUGGAGUCAGUUGAUGCCUCAAGUGUAUGUCAUGAUGGUGAUAUGAUAGCUGAAUUGCUUGAGAAGAGAAUUCUGGAUGUUGGAAAAGAGAAUGUGGUACAAGUUAUCACCGAUAAUGGUGCUAAUUACAAGAAAGUUGGCCACCUUCUAAUGGAGAGGAUGCCUACUCUAUAUUGGAGCCCGUGUGCAUGUCAUUGCUUGGACCUAAUGUUGGAAGAUAUAGGAAAGUUGAAGGCAUUUAAGAAGCCUAUUGCAGGGGCUAGACGUGUCACAACUUUCAUCUAUAGACAUGGAAGACUUCUUAGUCUAAUGAGGAAGGCCACGGGUGGGGAUCUUGUGAGACCAGCAGCCAUUCGUUUUGCCACAGCCAUCCUCACACUUAGGAGUUUGGUCAAGAACAAGGCUGCAUUGAGGAGUUUAUUUACAUCUGAAGAAUGGGUUGGAAACAAGUUAGCAAAAACACAAGUUGGCUUGAAUGUGCAAGAGAUUAUACUUUCAACGGAGUGGUGGAGCGCAAUUGAGGACUGCCUUAGAGCUUCAACUCCACUUCUUAGAGUUCUUAGAGUAGCAGAUGGUGAUGAGAAGCCUGCCAUGCCAGAGAUUAAAGCACUUAUGAUUUAUGCAAAGGAGAGGAUCAAUCUAGGUUUCCCUCAACAAAACAAGCAACCAUUGCUCAAGAAGAUCUUGGCCAUUGUUGAUAAGCGUUGGGAGAAUCAAAUGGAUCAUCCAUUGUAUGGGGCUGCUCUAUUUUUGAACCCAGGAAAGUUCUUUCCUAUUGUAAGCAGAAAUGAUGAUGCCUUAGUUGGGGAGCUUAGGAGCUGCUUUAAUGAUGUGCUUGCAAAAAUGGUACCGGAUGCCAAUGUUCGAAAAAAGAUUGAUCAACAAUCUGUGCUCUAUGAGCAACAGCGAGAAAGCUUUUCUAAUCCAUUGGCACUCGAGACCAUGAGCACAAGAAACCCUCGUAAGUCAUAUUAA
Molecule: ribosomal RNA, 1869 nt
Filed under: Triticum aestivum (bread wheat)
Lineage: Eukaryota; Viridiplantae; Streptophyta; Magnoliopsida; Poales; Poaceae
Description: partial small subunit ribosomal RNA
Source: RNAcentral